AUUCUGCAUGGCUGUCGUCAGCUCGUGUUGUGAAAUGUUGGGUUAAGUCCCGCAACGAGCGCAACCCUUAUCCUUUGUUGCCAGCGGUCCGGCCGGGAACUCAAAGGAGACUGCCAGUGAUAAACUGGAGGAAGGUGGGGAUGACGUCAAGUCAUCAUGGCCCUUACGAGUAGGGCUACACACGUGCUACAAUGGCGCAUACAAAGAGAAGCGACCUCGCGAGAGCAAGCGGACCUCAUAAAGUGCGUCGUAGUCCGGAUUGGAGUCUGCAACUCGACUCCAUGAAGUCGGAAUCGCUAGUAAUCGUGGAUCAGAAUGCCACGGUGAAUACGUUCCCGGGUCUUGUACACACCG
RNAcentral lists this ribosomal RNA (354 nucleotides) under uncultured Enterobacter sp. RNAcentral describes it as "bacterial SSU rRNA". It matches the Rfam family "Bacterial small subunit ribosomal RNA", at positions 1038 to 1392 of the family's 1533-position model. Lineage: Bacteria; Pseudomonadati; Pseudomonadota; Gammaproteobacteria; Enterobacterales; Enterobacteriaceae. The record is from RNAcentral.